GUAAUACGGAGGAUGCAAGCGUUAUCCGGAUUCAUUGGGUAUAAAGCGUGCGCAGNCGGGUUGGGUAAGUCAGGGGUGAAAGCCCGCAGCUUAACUGUGGAAUUGCCUUUGAUACUGCUCACCUUGAGUCCAGCUGAGGUAGNCGGAAUGUAGUAUGUAGCGGUGAAAUGCUUAGAUAUACUACAGAACACCGAUUGCGAAGGCAGCUUACCAAACUGGCACUGACGCUCAGGCACGAAAGCGUGGGGAGCGAACAGGAUUAGAUACCCUGGUAGUCCACGCCGUAAACGUUGAUCACUCGUUGUUGGCAAUACACCGUCAGCGACCUAGCUAAUGCGCUAAGUGAUCCACCUGGGGAGUACGAUCGCAAGGUUGAAACUCAAAGGAAUUGACGGGGGCCCGCACAAGCGGAGGAGCAUGUGGUUUAAUUCGAUGAUACGCGAGGAACCUUACCUGGGCUUAAAUGUAGUGUGCAUUCCCGUGAAAACGGGAUUUCCUUCGGGACCCACUACAAGGUGCUGCAUGGUUGUCGUCAGCUCGUGCCGUGAGGCGUCGGGUUAAGUCCCAUAACGAGCGCAACCCCUAUCUUUAGUUGCUAACAGGUCAUGCUGAGGACUCUAAAGAAACUGCCCGCGCAAGCGGUGAGGAAGGUAGGGAUGACGUCAAAUCAGCACGGCCCUUAUGUCCAGGGCUACACACGUGCUACAAUGGCAGGUACAGUGGGCAGCUAUCACGCAAGUGAAUGCUAAUCUCUAAAACCUGUCUCAGUCCGGAUUGGAGUCUGCAGCCCGACUCCAUGAAGCUGGAUUCGCUAGUAAUCGCACAUCAGCCAUGGUGCGGUGAAUACGUUCCCGGGCCUUGUACACACCGCCCGUCAAGCCAUGGAAGCUGGGAGUACCUGAAGUCUGUAACCGCAAGGAGCGGCACUAGGGUAAAACACGGUGACUAGGGGCUAAGUCGUAANNCAAGGUAACNCAAGGG
This 981-nucleotide ribosomal RNA is filed under the name uncultured organism. RNAcentral describes it as "bacterial SSU rRNA". It matches the Rfam family "Bacterial small subunit ribosomal RNA", at positions 520 to 1507 of the family's 1533-position model. The record is from RNAcentral.